Molecule: non-coding RNA, 369 nt
Organism: Rattus rattus (black rat)
Lineage: Eukaryota; Metazoa; Chordata; Mammalia; Rodentia; Muridae
Source: the annotation of a RefSeq genome assembly
AUGAGGUGCUCUCUUCAGUUCCUGGGGUUGCUUGUGCUCUGGAUUCCUGGAGUCAAUGGGGAUAUUGUGAUGACUCAGAGUGCACUCCCCAAUCCUGUCCCUUCAGGAGAGUCAGCUUCCAUCACCUGCAGGUCUAGUAAGAGUCUGGCAUACAAAGACGGCAAGACAUACUUGAAUUGGUUUCUGCAGAGGCCAGGACAGUCUCCUCAGCUCCUGACUUAUUGGACGUCUACCCGUGCAUCAGGAGUCUCAGAGAGGUUCAGUGGCAGUGGGUCAGGAACAUAUUUCACACUGAAAAUCAGUAGAGUGAGGGCUGAGGAUGCGGGUGUGUAUUACUGUCAGCAAGUUCGAGAGUAUCCGCCACAGUGA